RNAcentral lists this ribosomal RNA (542 nucleotides) under Bifidobacterium adolescentis. Its description in RNAcentral is "bacterial SSU rRNA". It matches the Rfam family "Bacterial small subunit ribosomal RNA", at positions 158 to 710 of the family's 1533-position model. Lineage: Bacteria; Bacillati; Actinomycetota; Actinomycetes; Bifidobacteriales; Bifidobacteriaceae. The record is from RNAcentral.
GGGUGGUAAUGCCGGAUGCUCCAGUUGGAUGCAUGUCCUUCUGGGAAAGAUUCAUCGGUAUGGGAUGGGGUCGCGUCCUAUCAGCUUGAUGGCGGGGUAACGGCCCACCAUGGCUUCGACGGGUAGCCGGCCUGAGAGGGCGACCGGCCACAUUGGGACUGAGAUACGGCCCAGACUCCUACGGGAGGCAGCAGUGGGGAAUAUUGCACAAUGGGCGCAAGCCUGAUGCAGCGACGCCGCGUGCGGGAUGACGGCCUUCGGGUUGUAAACCGCUUUUGACUGGGAGCAAGCCCUUCGGGGUGAGUGUACCUUUCGAAUAAGCACCGGCUAACUACGUGCCAGCAGCCGCGGUAAUACGUAGGGUGCAAGCGUUAUCCGGAAUUAUUGGGCGUAAAGGGCUCGUAGGCGGUUCGUCGCGUCCGGUGUGAAAGUCCAUCGCUUAACGGUGGAUCCGCGCCGGGUACGGGCGGGCUUGAGUGCGGUAGGGGAGACUGGAAUUCCCGGUGUAACGGUGGAAUGUGUAGAUAUCGGGAAAGAACACC